UCGUCCGUCGCGUUCGCGGGAGUUUUAUAUUUCCUUGAACCAAUGCUCAUAUGAGCCCGGGCUGGGAACAUUGCUAGGCGGGCGUGAGCGUCUCGCGUCAGACGAACCCGAAGCCUUGCUGACCUGGCCCACCUGAACCCCCGCGUUCAGGAAUGCGGCUCCCGGCUCGCGGCGGACACC
This 180-nucleotide non-coding RNA is filed under the name Rivibacter subsaxonicus. RNAcentral's name for it is "Methylibium subsaxonicum 6S / SsrS RNA". It matches the Rfam family "6S / SsrS RNA". Rfam says of the family: E. coli 6S RNA was the first non coding RNA to be sequenced, but its function was unknown until recently. The record is from Rfam by way of RNAcentral. Lineage: Bacteria; Pseudomonadati; Pseudomonadota; Betaproteobacteria; Burkholderiales.